RNAcentral lists this ribosomal RNA (454 nucleotides) under uncultured bacterium. RNAcentral's name for it is "partial 16S ribosomal RNA". It matches the Rfam family "Bacterial small subunit ribosomal RNA", at positions 28 to 507 of the family's 1533-position model. The record is from RNAcentral.
GAUGAACGCUGACAGAAUGCUUAACACAUGCAAGUCUACUUGAACUUCGGUUUGGGUGGCGGACGGGUGAGUAACGCGUAAAGAACUUGCCUCACAGUUAGGGACAACAUUUGGAAACGAAUGCUAAUACCUGAUAUUAUGAUUUUAGGGCAUCCUAAGAUUAUGAAAGCUAUAUGCACUGUGAGAGAGCUUUGCGUCCCAUUAGCUAGUUGGAGAGGUAACGGCUCACCAAGGCGAUGAUUGGUAGCCGGCCUGAGAGGGUGAACGGCCACAAGGGGACUGAGACACGGCCCUUACUCCUACGGGAGGCAGCAGUGGGGAAUAUUGGACAAUGGACCAAAAGUCUGAUCCAGCAAUUCUGUGUGCACGAUGACGUUUUUCGGAAUGUAAAGUGCUUUCAGUUGGGAAGAAAAAAAUGACGGUACCAACAGAAGAAGUGACGGCUAAAUACGUG